CUGGGUAGGGACACCUUCCUCCUCAACAAAUCUCCCUUUCCAAGCGCGCAUCUACCGGUGUCGGUCAGCGGCCACAGACCACUCAGAUCUGAACCUGAACUGUGAGCAAGGGUCCUGGGUCAAGCUUAAACUUUCCUACCUACCAUGUUUCCAGAAACAGUCCCUUGGGGUCAACAGCAAACAUUUUGAUGUGCACUCUAAAGAGACGGUUGCACAACUGGGAAACAGGAGGAUUCCGGUUUAACAGGGAUACUAAAAUCACCUAUGAGGGCUCGCCCCUCAAGACCUAAUCACCUUCUAAAGAUCCUACAUCCUAAUGCGAGACCCGUGGGUUUGAGGAUCUCAACAAAUGAAUUUUGGCAGAAUCCAAAAGCUUAAUUGGAAGAUUCCAGAAUGAAACAAUGCUACACAAGGAAAAGAACCUUCCAGUCAUUUUCUUGGGGAAAAAAAUUUAAAUCAAAAUACCACAAGUAUAUCACAAAAUUAAACCAUCGAAUCAAGUGGAAGGGCUCAUUCCCAGACUACCCCUCUGCUGCGGUGGUCUUCCAGAGGCAAGUAUGUUUAACUCUUUCAGCUGUUUCUGCUGGUGGUUAUCAUUGUCUCUAAAAAUAUGUUUAUAUCAUCAGUUCUUGAUGCAUCUGUUUUAGACAUUGUCUAUUAAUUACAACUCAGAUAAAUGAAGAUUUAUCUCACGGGACAAGUAUGUAGAGAUAUUGGGGAGUUCUUUUCCAUUCCAUAGCUACCUUUAUUUGCUCCUUGCAGAGGUCUAGGCUGUAUGCAUAAUAAGGUAGGCCUUCCAUAUAUGGGUGGGGCCUGGCUUUACUAUGCAUGUGCUGACAGUUACGUACAUAACAUGAAUAUUCCCUCUGCCUCCUGGUCUUGUUUUGUUGGUUGACCUUAGUAGGAGACUUUAAUGGUGGAGACUUUUUCAAAGUCUGGUGACUAGUGGGAGCACAUAUGAGAAUAAUAUUGUUACCGCUUUUGACGGGUGGCAAGUCCUUGCUUCCCCAAUGUUGUAGAAUAACACCAGAGAAGCACACCGAGGCAAGG
Marmota flaviventris (yellow-bellied marmot) is the source of this 1050-nucleotide non-coding RNA. The record is from RefSeq and is a predicted model, not a curated record. Lineage: Eukaryota; Metazoa; Chordata; Mammalia; Rodentia; Sciuridae.